Rhipicephalus sanguineus (brown dog tick) is the source of this 519-nucleotide long non-coding RNA. RefSeq lists it as uncharacterized. The record is from RefSeq and is a predicted model, not a curated record. Lineage: Eukaryota; Metazoa; Arthropoda; Arachnida; Ixodida; Ixodidae. The transcript has 3 exons.
CUCAUCAAAGAUAUGAGCAUCUACCGUUCAGAAACGCCGUAUUUUGCGAUUUCACGACCUUUCGUCGCGUUUGGAGACGAUUGGACAUGGUUGUAUUUUUGAUUAAACGUAUAAGCUUCUAGCCUUUAGAAACGAUCUAUUCUGCGAUUUGACGACGUUUCGUCGCGUUUGGAGACGAUUGGACAUGGUUGUAUUUUUGAUUAAACGUAUAAGCUUCUAGCCUUUAGAAACGAUCUAUUCUGCGAUUUGACGACGUUUCGUCGCGUUUGGAGACGAUUGGAGAAUGUUGCAUUUUUAAAGAUAUAAGCUUCUAUCCUUCAGGAACGACAUAUUCUGCGAUUUUACGUCGUUUUAUAGUGUUUGGAGACGAUUGGAGGUGGUGGAAAUUCUCAUCAAAGAUAUGAGCUUCUACCUUUCAAAAACGCUUUAUUUUGCGAUUUCACGCCGUUUCGUCGCGUUUGGAGACGAUUGGAGAUGGUUGUAAUUUUGAUUAUACAUAUAAGCUUCUAGCCUUCGGAA